Molecule: ribosomal RNA, 557 nt
Filed under: uncultured Glomus
Lineage: Eukaryota; Fungi; Glomeromycota; Glomeromycetes; Glomerales; Glomeraceae
Description: eukaryotic LSU rRNA
Rfam family: 5.8S ribosomal RNA (bases 157-310)
Source: RNAcentral
GGAAGUAAAAGUCGUAACAAGGUUUCCGUAGGUGAACCUGCGGAAGGAUCAUUACUGAUUUAGCGAACCGAGCGUUAGCGAGGUUUUGCGAUCACUUAUAUUUAAAACCCCACUCUUUAAUGUAAUAAAAUUUGUAUUAAUGAUAAAUUAAAAGAUCACUUUCAACAACGGAUCUCUUGGCUCUCGCGUCGAUGAAGAACGUAGCGAAGUGCGAUAAGUAAUGUGAAUUGCAGUAUUCCGUGAAUCAUCGAAUCUUUGAACGCAUAUUGCACUUUCUGGUAUUCCGGAAAGUAUGCCUGUUUGAGGGUCAGUUAAAUAAAAAUCGGUGUUGUUGCCGCCUUUCGUGGUGACGCGUCGGAAUUGAGUUGUCUUACCUUCGGUUAAGUGACUUAAAAUUUUGUAUGAUUUUCGAACGUAUUUAAAUUUAUUUGAACGUUUGAUAUCGAAUGCUUAUUAGGUUCGGUCAUCCUCAUGACUCGCGCCUAUAAUUUUUCAUUAAAUGACCUCAAAUCAGGUAAGAAUACCCGCUGAACUUAAGCAUAUCAAUAAGCGGAGGA